Molecule: transfer RNA, 85 nt
Filed under: Kineosporiaceae bacterium
Lineage: Bacteria; Bacillati; Actinomycetota; Actinomycetes; Kineosporiales; Kineosporiaceae
Also listed under: 2 other names
Description: tRNA-Ser
Rfam family: tRNA
About the family: Transfer RNA (tRNA) molecules are approximately 80 nucleotides in length. Their secondary structure includes four short double-helical elements and three loops (D, anti-codon, and T loops). Further hydrogen bonds mediate the characteristic L-shaped molecular structure. tRNAs have two regions of fundamental functional importance: the anti-codon, which is responsible for specific mRNA codon recognition, and the 3' end, to which the tRNAs corresponding amino acid is attached (by aminoacyl-tRNA synthetases). tRNAs cope with the degeneracy of the genetic code in two manners: having more than one tRNA (with a specific anti-codon) for a particular amino acid; and 'wobble' base-pairing, i.e. permitting non-standard base-pairing at the 3rd anti-codon position.
Source: RNAcentral
GGAGGAUUCGCCUAGUGGCCUAGGGCGCACGAUUGGAAAUCGUGUUGGUGUAAAAGCCUCAGGGGUUCAAAUCCCCUAUCCUCCG